AGUGAACGCUGGCGGUAGGCCUAACACAUGCAAGUCGAACGGCAGCACAGUAAGAGCUUGCUCUUACGGGUGGCGAGUGGCGGACGGGUGAGGAAUACAUCGGAAUCUACUUUUUCGUGGGGGAUAACGUAGGGAAACUUACGCUAAUACCGCAUACGACCUACGGGUGAAAGCAGGGGAUCUUCGGACCUUGCGCGAUUGAAUGAGCCGAUGUCGGAUUAGCUAGUUGGCGGGGUAAAGGCCCACCAAGGCGACGAUCCGUAGCUGGUCUGAGAGGAUGAUCCGCCACACUGGAACUGAGAAACGGUCCAGACUCCUACGGGAGGCAGCAGUGGGGAAUAUUGGACAAUGGGCGGAAGCCUGAUCCAGCCAUACCGCGUGGGUGAAGAAGGCCUUCGGGUUGUAAAGCCCUUUUGUUGGGAAAGAAAAGCAGCAGGUUAAUACCCCGCUGUUCUGACGGUACCCAAAGAAUAAGCACCGGCUAACUUCGUG
RNAcentral lists this ribosomal RNA (492 nucleotides) under uncultured bacterium. RNAcentral's name for it is "partial 16S ribosomal RNA". It matches the Rfam family "Bacterial small subunit ribosomal RNA", at positions 29 to 507 of the family's 1533-position model. The record is from RNAcentral.